GCUUUGCCUAGCUGCAGCAAGUUUAGCGCUUAGAUACCUUUCCCCUACCCACCGCACCCACCCAUGUUUAUUCUAGAAGAUUUUAUCUGGUAGUAUGUCAUUUUAUUUUAUAUAAUUUUUAAUCUCACUAAAAAUAGGAUGUAUAGACCACUAUACAUUAUAUUUUGUUUCCACUGACUUGUCAGUGUGACUGGUGCCGGAGGUAUGCCUUGGCAGAAUAGCCAGAAUUGUCAUGGCUAUCUCCUUUUG
Molecule: non-coding RNA, 249 nt
Organism: Paramuricea clavata
Lineage: Eukaryota; Metazoa; Cnidaria; Anthozoa; Malacalcyonacea; Plexauridae
Source: the annotation of a GenBank genome assembly